UGGGGAAUAUUGGACAAUGGGGGGAACCCUGAUCCAGCCAUGCCGCGUGUGUGAAGAAGGCCUUAUGGUUGUAAAGCACUUUAAGCGAGGAGGAGGGUACUGGUAUUAAUACUACCAGCUACUGGACGUUACUCGCAGAAUAAGCACCGGCUAACUCUGUGCCAGCAGCCGCGGUAAUACAGAGGGUGCGAGCGGUAAUCGGAUUUACUGGGCGUAUAGCGUGCGUAGGCGGCUAAUUGAGUCGGAUGUGAAAUCCCCGAGCUUAACUUGGGAAUUGCAUUCGAUACUGGUUAGCUAGAGUGUGGGAGAGGAUGGUAGAAUUCCAGGUGUAGCGGUGAAAUGCGUAGAGAUCUGGAGGAAUACCGAUGGCGAAGGCAGCCAUCUGGCCUAACACUGACGCUGAGGUACGAAAGCAUGGGGAGCAAACAGG
RNAcentral lists this ribosomal RNA (430 nucleotides) under Pseudomonadota bacterium. RNAcentral describes it as "Proteobacteria bacterium partial 16S ribosomal RNA". It matches the Rfam family "Bacterial small subunit ribosomal RNA", at positions 355 to 776 of the family's 1533-position model. The record is from RNAcentral. Lineage: Bacteria; Pseudomonadati; Pseudomonadota.